Molecule: ribosomal RNA, 497 nt
Filed under: uncultured bacterium
Lineage: Bacteria
Description: partial 16S ribosomal RNA
Rfam family: Bacterial small subunit ribosomal RNA
Source: RNAcentral
GAUGAACGCUGGCGGCGUGCCUAAUACAUGCAAGUCGAGCGAACAGACGAGGAGCUUGCUCCUCUGACGUUAGCGGCGGACGGGUGAGUAACACGUGGAUAACCUACCUAUAAGAAUGGGAUAACUUCGGGAAACCGGAGCUAAUACCGGAUAAUAUAUUGAACCGCAUGGUUCAAUAGUGAAAGACGGUUUUGAUGUCACUUAUAGAUGGAUCCGCGCCGCAUUAGCUAGUUGGUAAGGUAACGGCUUACCAAGGCAACGAUGCGUAGCCGACCUGAGAGGGUGAUCGGCCACACUGGAACUGAGACACGGUCCAGACUCCUACGGGAGGCAGCAGUAGGGAAUCUUCCGCAAUGGGCGAAAGCCUGACGGAGCAACGCCGCGUGAGUGAUGAAGGUCUUCGGAUCGUAAAACUCUGUUAUUAGGGAAGAACAAAUGUGUAAGUAACUAUGCACGUCUUGACGGUACCUAAUCAGAAAGCCACGGCUAACUACGUG